RNAcentral lists this ribosomal RNA (1390 nucleotides) under metagenome. Its description in RNAcentral is "bacterial SSU rRNA". It matches the Rfam family "Archaeal small subunit ribosomal RNA". The record is from RNAcentral.
GGGCGGGGAGUGGCGCACUGCUCAGUAACACGUAGCUAACCUAACCUCAAGACGGAAAUAACCCCGGGAAACUGGGGUCAAUGUCCGAUAGAUGUGAAUUCCUGGAAUGGUGUCACAUCCAAACGUCAACACACCAUGUUGUGCGAACGCUUGAGGAUGGGGCUGCGGCCGAUCAGGCUGUUGGUGGGGUAAUGGCCCACCAAACCUUUGACCGGUAUGGGCCAUGAGAGUGGUAGCCCAGAGAUGGACACUGAGACAAGGGUCCAGGCCCUACGGGGCGCAGCCGGUACGAAACCUCCACAAUGCACGCAAGUGCGAUGGGGUUAUCUCGAGUGCUAUCUGAAAAAGGUAGCUUUUCCAUGGUCUAAAUAGCCGUGGGAAUAAGGGGGGGGCAAGACUGGUGUCAGCCGCCGCGGUAACACCAGCCCCCCGAGUGGUAGGGAUGUUUAUUUGGCCUAAAGCGUCCGUAGCCGGCUAAGUAAAUUUCUCGUUAAAUCCAACGUCCUAAGCGUUAGGCUGCGAGAAAGACUGCUUAGCUAGAGGGUGGGAGAGGUCAGCGGUAUUCCUGGGGUAGGGGCGAAAUCCAUUGAACCCAGGAGGACCACCAGUGGCGAAGGCUGCUGACUAGAACACGCCUGACGGUGAGGGACGAAAGCUGGGGUAGCGAAUCGGAUUAGAUACCCGAGUAGUCCCAGCCGUAAACGAUGCAGACUAGGUGUUGGGUUGGCCACGCGCCGACUCAGUGCCACAGGGAAGCCAUUAAGUCUGCCGCCUGGGAAGUACGGCCGCAAGGCUGAAACUUAAAGGAAUUGGCGGGGGAGCACCACCAGGCGUGAAGCCUGCGGUUUAAUUGGAGUCAACGCCGGGAACCUUACCGGGAGCGACAGCAGAGUGAAGGCCAGGCUAAAGGUCUUGCCAGACGAGCUGAGAGGAGGUGCAUGGCCGUCGCCAGUUCGUGCCGUGAGGUGUCCUCUUAAGUGAGGUAACGAACGAGACCCGCGCCGCAUGUUGCUAACAAGUCCUAAAGGGAUGUUGAGCACUCUGCGGGACCGCAGCCGACAAGGCUGAGGAAGGUGCGGGCAACGGCAGGUCAGUAUGCCCCGAAUCUCCCGGGCCACACGCGGGCUGCAAUGGUAGAGACAGAGGGCUGCAACCCCGAAAGGGGAAGCCAAUCCCUAAACUCUACCUCAGUUGGGAUUGAGGGCUGCAACCCGCCCUCAUGAACAUGGAAUGCCUAGUAACUGCCAGUCAUCAUCUGGCGGUGAAUACGUCCCUGCUCCUUGCACACACUGCCCGUCGAACCACCCGAAUGAGGUUGGGGUGAGGCAUGAUCGAAUGUUGGUCGUGUCGAACCUGGGCCUCGUAAGGAGGGUUAAGUCGUAACAAGGUG